UGCAAAGGAAAGUACUGCAUGCUGAUUUCAUUUCAGCUCAUCAGCAGAGGAAGAUGGCCACUUUUUUUGGGCUGUAAAAUCUUUUCAGAUGAUAUAAUAGAGAAUAUAUCUUUAAUGGAUGUCAAAAAGGCAUACAUAUUUAUAAUCCAACCAACAAAGAUAGAUUUUUUUUUCCCUCUCAGUUGAGAUAUUUAACCAACUUUGGAAUGGAAGAAAGAUCAGUAACCUGCAUGCUUUUCAAGGGCGUUUUCAAGAAAAGAGAUUUCCAUCAAGUGUGUGGACGAUGCCGAUGGAAUUGGUGGAGUGGUCGUCUAUGACUAUCAAACAUACUCCCUUCAAGUUGCCGUCGAGCAGUCUGCUUCUGGUGGACAAGGCCCUCUCAGUUCUGUGAGACCUUUUCAAUUUCCCCGUUAUGACAAUGAGGACCCUCCAGAGACUGACAGUAAUGCACCAUCCAGGAGGAGGAGGUAGAGAAGAUGAGUGAUACACACAGCCAUCAUCCCUCUCCAUGAAUUGGCAAAUUGAGACUCCAGGAAGUUACUGGUCCCGGACUAAGAAAUAGUCUACAAUACAACCCCUGUAGAGAGAAAACUGCCCUUUUUACAAUUUGGUGCUUGUAUGGAUUUAAACAAAAAAACAGAAUCAGUGAGCUUUAGUGCUAAUAGGAUUUUUUUUUUUUUUUGUUUGGACAGAGCCAGGUGAGCUGUUUCCCCAUUUCAACUCCGUAUUUAUAAAGUAUAGAGAUUUAUUAAUUUUCAAUUGAAACACUAAUCAUAUAGUGAGGUAAUAUGUGGCCUGAUAAGGAAGUGCGGGAAGUCUGAGAGACUGUGGAAAAAAGUCAUAGAUCAUUUUGUAAGCCCUGUCUCAGCUGGAUACCUAGCAAGUAUUUUAAAGAAAUUAUCACAAGUUAAUUGGGACUAUCUCACCCAUGACACUAUGAUCGAAUCCUCUCAACACUAUACCUAACAAAUUCUUAUCAGAGGAUCUGGGUGUAGCCCCUUGUUUGCUUAACUCAUUAGCAGUUCUUUAUCUUCUGGAUGUGUUUCAGACUAUUUCAAGACCAGUAAUUUCCUAGGCUCUGAUCAUCUACAGACCAGUUUUUAAGCUCCACUUUCUACAAAAAAAAACCUGGAGAAAAUUGUCUCAAAUCAAUUGUUAGAGGGUUUGAUCAUUAACAUAAUUGAUAAUUCUUCAGUUUAGUUUAUUUCUGUUUAUUUGUUAUUGAUAUUUACUGAACAUGAAUGUGUAACUUUUUUCUUUCUUUUAUUUGUCCUUGUAUUUGAAACACUUUAUAAAGAUGCCCUAUGAAUAGGGGUGUUAUUAUUAUUAUUAUUUAUGCACCUUCAUUGCAUUAUUCAUCUGUCCUUAAUGACAAAAUAAAUAAAUAAA
Non-coding RNA from Plectropomus leopardus (leopard coralgrouper), 1389 nucleotides. The record is from RefSeq and is a predicted model, not a curated record. NCBI's taxonomy places the organism in Eukaryota, Metazoa, Chordata, Actinopteri, Perciformes, Serranidae.